Amphiprion ocellaris (clown anemonefish) is the source of this 558-nucleotide long non-coding RNA. RefSeq lists it as uncharacterized. Lineage: Eukaryota; Metazoa; Chordata; Actinopteri; Pomacentridae. The record is from RefSeq and is a predicted model, not a curated record. The transcript has 4 exons.
CUUGUGAUUAGAGUUUGCUAAAAUAUUGUCAUGUGAACUGUCCUCGAGUUCUCAACCUGAUCGACCCUUUGCUCAUUUUUCCCAGUUUCUAGGGUCCAAGAUGAUGAAGGCCACAUUCUAAACUCGAGGCUUCAAACCAGGAAUCCGCAAACCAGGGUCCUGGUGUAACUGGGCAUGUUGGCUGAAACAGACUCCCCAGGAUGGUUGGAGCUGCCCCCUCUGGUUUCAGGCUCCAGGUGCUGAGGAGGCACCAGCAGAGGAAGAUCUGUCCUCUGCGGGGGUUCGGUCUAAUAAACUGCUGAAGCCUUGCUUUCCUUGAGGACUGCAGCUACAGUAUGAGGGCAUGUGCAGAGGGCACAGUAGCUGCAGUGGCUGGCGACAAGCGCGCUGACACUGCACACUGGGCAAGAGAAGCAUGUAAACUGAGAUCCACAUCGCCUGAUACCACAAGGACACGUCCAGCCCAGGAGCAUUGAUGACAGAUUCUGCCAAGGCUGCUCAGAAAGGUAGCGUUUCAUUGACAAAUUCAGCUGUAUGAAGUUAAAAUAAUUGAGCAGU